This is a long non-coding RNA of Amphiprion ocellaris (clown anemonefish), 359 nucleotides long. RefSeq lists it as uncharacterized. The record is from RefSeq and is a predicted model, not a curated record. The transcript is spliced from 3 exons. Lineage: Eukaryota; Metazoa; Chordata; Actinopteri; Pomacentridae.
GAAGCGGUGUUGUUUCUGUUUCACUGUGGAGGAUCACCGAGGAAGAAGGGUGGCAAUUCAAGAACACUGCGAUAUUAAAUACAAAAGCUUAUCGAUGUGUUUCUGAACAAAGGACCCGACGACGUACGGCUUCUACUCUGUUCAGAAGUCGUUGUGUAUUUUAGCAUUUUUAAUGGCUCCUCCAAGAAAGAAUGCAUUACCCAAACCACUCCCAGAUGGCUUCAUACUGACAGACACCGAGAAGAAGAAAUGGAAGCUGGGGACAAUCAUCGGUCAAGGUGGAUUUGGACUGAUCUAUCUUGCCUCACAGGACAUAGACAGACCUGUUGCAAUGGACACUGACUUUGUCAUAAAAGUGG